Molecule: ribosomal RNA, 425 nt
Filed under: uncultured bacterium
Lineage: Bacteria
Description: partial 16S ribosomal RNA
Rfam family: Bacterial small subunit ribosomal RNA
Source: RNAcentral
GUGGGGAAUAUUGGACAAUGGGCGCAAGCCUGAUCCAGCCAUGCCGCGUGAGUGAUGAAGGCCUUAGGGUUGUAAAGCUCUUUCACCGGUGAAGAUAAUGACGGUAACCGGAGAAGAAGCCCCGGCUAACUUCGUGCCAGCAGCCGCGGUAAUACGAAGGGGGCUAGCGUUGUUCGGAAUUACUGGGCGUAAAGCGCACGUAGGCUGAUAUUUAAGUCAGGGGUGAAAUCCCGGGGCUCAACCCCGGAACUGCCUUUGAUACUGGGUAUCUUGAGUAUGGAAGAGGUCAGUGGAAUUGCGAGUGUAGAGGUGAAAUUCGUAGAUAUUCGCAGGAACACCAGUGGCGAAGGCGGCUGACUGGUCCAUUACUGACGCUGAGGUGCGAAAGCGUGGGGAGCAAACAGGAUUAGAAACCCUGGUAGUCC